This 253-nucleotide ribosomal RNA is filed under the name uncultured bacterium. Its description in RNAcentral is "partial 16S ribosomal RNA". It matches the Rfam family "Bacterial small subunit ribosomal RNA", at positions 524 to 776 of the family's 1533-position model. The record is from RNAcentral.
UACGGGGGGGGCAAGCGUUGUUCGGAAUUACUGGGCGUAAAGCGCACGCAGGUGGCUGAGUAAGUCGAUUGUGAAAGCCCUGGGCUUAACCUGGGAAUUGCAUUCGAUACUGCUCAGCUAGAGUAUGGGAGAGGGUAGUGGAAUUCCCGGUGUAGCGGUGAAAUGCGUAGAUAUCGGGAGGAACAUCAGUGGCGAAGGCGGCUACCUGGCCCAAUACUGACACUCAGGUGCGACAGCGUGGGGAGCAAACAGG